AUUAACAAAUUUAUCACAUUGAAACAUAACUACCCAAAUCAUGAUUCAAAUCUAUGAAAAAUCUGGAUAAAAUGACCAACCUCAAUACAUGAUUCAUGCAGAUUUGUGUUAAGUGAAAAAAUCUAACUACCAAUAUCCAACCAAUAAGAAUAGGCUUCGAGUUAAGUUAAAAAGAAACAGAUCAUAUAGAAAAACAGUGGCUAAUCAGUAGAGGAAUAACCUGGAAAUCCAAAAAUAAAGUCAAAUUCAAACUUCAAAAGACGACACUAACUACUUCUAUUACAAUUCCUCAUGAAAAUGAUGUACUGGUGAAUACUUGCCAAAGUGAAUAUGGUCUAUUCACCCAAGCUUUAAUCCACCCCAAUAGAAAUAUCAACCUCUAAUAUAUCACCAACGACAAGCCCAUUUUGACUUAAUACUUGCUGAUUUUGGCCAAUCAGUCGCCAAAUCCACAAACUAUAGCCAAGCUCGACAACAGCAGCUUUCAACAAACCUCACAUAGGCAACAUUUGGUGCAGGAAUCGCUGAUUUCACAGGAGAAAACAUAAUACACUGCACAACGAAGCUAGUUUUGAGAUAAAUUUCAGCAUAAUGAGCCAAGAGGAGCAUACGAUUCAGAUGCAAAAAUGCAUCUCGAACCCAGACAUCAUUUAAACCUUUCAUUUCAACAUUUCAGAUAUCAUUUAGAGUUAGCUCGAACAUGAAUUGACAUUAAAACCUUUGCAAACAAGGACAGACCUACAGCUGCGACAUAGUAUGGAUUGGAUUCAUUUAAACCUAAAAAUAUGUAUAGGCCGCGUAUACUAGUGCAAUUCAAACAACAUUAGCAAGAAAGCAUUGCAGAGACAUCAAAAACUAAUCAAAAUUCAUUAGUAACAGGACAUAAUUCAGGUGGACUAUACAAUCACAGCAUAUAUCCGUUUGAACAAAAAUAGACAUUCAUUCGAACUCAGAGACGGAAAACCACGACAAGAUAGAUCCAUUAACCACUGAACAGGCCAUAGAUGCAAGUUCUCAAAGCUGUAACAUUCUUAAUACAUUCGAUACAAAAGAUCGAAGUUUCAUACCUUGUGAGCAAAACAGCAAAAGGAAAAGGAAAAUGAAUCUCAGGUUUCUGAAGAAUGAAAGCACCACAGAACCAAAGAGGACAGCUACAUCUUAAUAAACAGCAACAGAUUCAAACUUCUCGAUGAAUUCCAUUGUUCGUAAACCAGAAUCGAAGUAAAAAAACUCUAUUAUUUCGAAAUGCUAAAUAAAACUAACACCAAGUGAAAUCAUGGAACCUCAAUAAUAUUUUCUUCUCUCUGUUAUGGUAUAAGAAAAUGAAGAAAAACAAUGGAAAAGAAGAAGAAAGUUUUGAACCCUAAUUUUCUUCCUUCAAUUUCUCUGAAAGAAAUCUCUUAAAAAUCCCCCCAAAAAAGAAGGACCCCCCGAACAAGAACAUCCUCACCUUAUAUCACCUCUGAAAAAUUAUCGAAUCUUCUCCUCAAAUCCGAAAAAUACCUUAUUCCUUGUGAACGAUUUUUGGGACAAAUGAAGGGAAUGGAUUGAUUUUCAUCCAUCCACGGCCCCCAUUCAUCCAGCAAAUCGAUCGAGAAACUGAAGGUGCGUAAAAUAUCUAGAAGGAAUCUUCUUGUUGUCAGAGUUGGUUGCUAUGUGGCUAUAGGAGAGAGGUUGGAGCACGUGAGGUGAGUUUUUGGGGUGAACUCGAGCGAGUUUGGGCGAGACAGAGGUGAGUUCUGGUGAUGUUGGGCGUGACAGAAGAAAGAGAUGAAGAUGGAGCGCUGUUUGGGUUGGGAUGGGGAUAAGACUAGGGUUUUC
This 1821-nucleotide long non-coding RNA is filed under the name Nicotiana tabacum (common tobacco). RNAcentral's name for it is "long non-coding RNA (NTAB_LNC002003)". The record is from RNAcentral. Lineage: Eukaryota; Viridiplantae; Streptophyta; Magnoliopsida; Solanales; Solanaceae.